AUGGCUGAUGCUUGGGUCUACUUGAGGGGAUCUGUGCUCAGGGAGAGCAUCCCCAUGUCACUAAGGAGACAGCCAUUGUGGAGGUGUGGAGAGGCAACUCCAAGGACUUUCCACAGUCAGUUUUUGUCCCUCCCAGUCUUGCCUCUGUCCUCAGGUCAGAAGCAUGCCAAUGGCAUCAGGAUUAGGACUGUCUCCCCAGUGGGGGGAAAUGAAGUAAGAACAAAGGUGAGAAGGACGCAACUGCACACAGCCAGUCCAGGAGCAGAGGUGUUUGAGAUUGCCACCUUCUCUACCUCAAAAGUCUCAAGGAAGUGGAAAACUUUUGCUCUUCUCACAGCAUCUUAUUCUCUGGCCUCAAAUGUGCUGCAGCAUCUGCAAAGUCUUCCUUGCAGGGUUAGAAAUAAGAACUCUAUGCCCUUGAAAGGAAGGAAACUUCCUCAAAGCCCACGUGAAUUUCAGUUUGGACCCUGCAGCCUCUGCCUGGUGUUGAGAUAAUGGACUUAGAAAGUUUGAACAUGAAGUUAUGAGUGUUACAUGGGCUCUCUGCAGAAGUUCUGGGGGCUGCCUGUGAUGGCACAGUUGGGCUGAUGGUAACUGAAGCACAGACUUUGUGGGUGAAGGAACGUGAAAAACAGCAUCCAUAAAAUGAGGCUAUUUUACAGUGUUGUUUUUUUUUCUUCCUUCCCCUCAAGGAUCAGAAUCUGGUUUAAGGGAAGCCUAUGGUAAAAUCAUAGAAUUAUAGAACCAUAGAAUGGCUUAGGUUGGAAGAAAUCCAGUCCCAACCCUCUGCUGUGGGCUGGUUGCCCCCCACCAGCUCAGGCUGCGUAGGGCCCCGUUCAGGGCCUUGGGCACCUCCAGGGAUGGGGCACCCACAGCUCUCUGGGCAAAAAUAGAGCUUCUCAGACAAGUACUCCAAAACCAGGCAAUGCCUAUCUGAUGGCAACGUCUGCCCCAGUGUCUUGGUUACAUUCCAAGCAGUAUUUUGUAUGUGAGUGCAUAUGUACCUCUUGCCCACUUGCUUGCAACAUCUAUCUUUAGCCUGUUACAACUUUGGUGCACGUGUUAAUGAAAUCAAAAGGUAUGAAGAAAUAAAGCAAGAUGUAUAAGGAGCCUCA
This 1115-nucleotide long non-coding RNA is filed under the name Phasianus colchicus (ring-necked pheasant). RNAcentral describes it as "lncRNA (ENSPCLG00000019132.1)". The record is from RNAcentral. Lineage: Eukaryota; Metazoa; Chordata; Aves; Galliformes; Phasianidae.